CGCGUAGGCGGGCGAUCAAGUCCGGGGUGAAAUCUUUCGGCUCAACCGGAAAACUGCCUUGGAUACUGAUCGUCUUGAGGGAGGUAGGGGCAGGUGGAACUUCCGGUGGAGCGGUGAAAUGCGUUGAUAUCGGAAGGAACGCCGGUGGCGAAAGCGACUUGCUGGAUCUCUUCUGACGCUGAGGCGCGAAAGCUAGGGUAGCGAACG
RNAcentral lists this ribosomal RNA (207 nucleotides) under uncultured bacterium. RNAcentral's name for it is "partial 16S ribosomal RNA". It matches the Rfam family "Bacterial small subunit ribosomal RNA", at positions 568 to 774 of the family's 1533-position model. The record is from RNAcentral.